Corapipo altera (White-ruffed manakin) is the source of this 818-nucleotide long non-coding RNA. RefSeq lists it as uncharacterized. The record is from RefSeq and is a predicted model, not a curated record. The transcript is spliced from 3 exons. Lineage: Eukaryota; Metazoa; Chordata; Aves; Passeriformes; Pipridae.
GCUGAGGCCCAACAAUGCUGUCCAGCUUCCUGCAGAACUCCAGCGUGGGCGGGAUCGAAGCUGUGGCAGGGAAAGAAAGGGCAGAGAUGGGAUUCCCUUCCCACAGCUGAAGGAUUAUUUGCAAAUAUGCCUCAAAGAGUUACAGAAACAGCAUCAGAAAGGCAGAAUAAUGCUAAGGAAAAGCUGUGCAGAUCAUCAAAGAAACAACAACAAAAUUCUUUCCACCUUCAGUUUGUGAGUAUCUUUAAAAUCCCUUUUUUAUUGCUGUGGGGAAGCCCCUUUCCUUUCCUGUCCAACAGUACAUCCAGACUAGUUUGGUGUAGGAAGUGGUGUACUAGAAGCACCUAAACUUGGGAGAGGGGUGUAGACAGGGAAUGUGUGCCAAUGUCUUGAUCCCAAAGGAAUACAAUAAACCAAGGAAGAGGAAUUCUCGUGAUGAAGGAUGUCCAAAUCCACAAUUACUCAAAAUUAUGUUGCCCGGGUGCUUAAGUGCAGAAUUCCCCACCCUGAUGCUGAGUACAGAGGAAAAGCAACUGGUAAAUCCUAGAUUAAAUCUACACCUUUGUCUGGAGUGCCUGGCUGAAAAGAAAUGACUGGAGCAAUUCCCAAAUUUGUCAGGCAGUGCAUUAAGAACAAUGGGAAGAAAAAUAAAUGUGAAAUUAUGUUAAUGAAGCAUUUUCUCUUUUUUCCAGAGGUUAGGUUUCACAUUGCAGCACCUACUGUGCAACCCUCUGGAAUGAACUGCGUGUGGGAUGAGAAGUUGAAGACACACAAAAGAAUUACUGAAGUACCUACCAGAUAAGCUGGUCAUUGUAGAG